AUGUGGUAUGGAGGAACAAUUUCAUCUAGAUUCAUACAAUAUAGAAAACUCUCAUGCUGCCAAGCAAUUUGGGUCGCUAUCUCCAGUCCUGGAUGCCAAAGAACACAAAGAAAUAAAAGAGAUAGAGAGCGGUAUGCACGAAUGACCAAUGAAGAAAAACAGGAGAAGCUGAAAAAGCGACGUCGGGCCUAUCAGCGAAACAAAACAAAUAAAGAUUCAACUCAGUUGAAAAAAAUUGCACCCAAGGGAGGAAGAAAUAUGCAAAUAUGGAGCUGGCACAAAAAACAAAAAAUGUGCAAGAGAAAGGCAGAAAUACGCAAAUAUGCAGCCAGAGCAAAAGAAAGCUAG
Molecule: ribosomal RNA, 348 nt
Filed under: Triticum aestivum (bread wheat)
Lineage: Eukaryota; Viridiplantae; Streptophyta; Magnoliopsida; Poales; Poaceae
Description: partial small subunit ribosomal RNA
Source: RNAcentral